UCAACUGGGCAGGCCUCUAAAUUUUCCUCUUUGCUUCCCCAGGUUUCCUCUCAAGUUUUUCCUCCCUUUCUCUCUCUUCCCCCAUCCUCUAUAUCCUGUAACUCUGUAAACUAGAACCCGUGAAAAUGGAGGUUUCUCCUUCAAGGUCAAGAAAUCUAAGGCUUUUCUCUGUUUGUGAGCCUCCAUCUCUCUACUGGUUAUGAUUUCUCUAGGUUUUCAGUGCGGUUGAUACGUGACUGCGAGAGGGGAAGCUUUGGUUCCUACUCGUAGUGUUGGUGUUCCUCGAUCAAUCAAGGAACCUACGCCGGAGUUGGUAUGUUUCCUAUCUCUUAAUCUCUUAUUUAUGUUCCCAGAAAACAUCCAAUGUUAAUUUGAUUGAGGAAAUCAUAUUUGUUCCUGGUUUAUCUUUGAAGCAUUUUGUCGAACACAUUGUGUGCACGAAAUAUUUCUAUCUCAAUUGGGAUUUAUAUUGGGAAAUUGUUGUCAAAUUAUCCUACAUAAUAUUAUGUUUGAACCAACCUCCUCCAAUAAUUUUUGUUCAACGCUCAAAUUGAACCUAAUUAUGUAUUUAUACGCAAAUCAAUUAAACCAUGGUGUCAAUUUUGUUAUGAUUUUAAUGGUAAUCUCAUGAUAAAUUAUGUGUAGUUAUUUUGACAUAACUGAGAAGGGUUCAAGGUGGGGUAAGGAGAUAGAGAUCGAUAAAGAUAAUUGUGUGUUGUGUGCCUAGGAAAAGAUGGGCUCAAGGUGGGAUCAUUUCAGAAGAAUACAAAAUGGACAACAUCCUUAUCAAUUACCCACUUAAUCAAUCACUCACUUAAUCUUAAUGGCAAUGUUACUAUUUGUCCUCCACCUGAUGUGUUAGUAUUUCCUUUUGGCAGCAAUUUAGGACACCUUAGAGCAGAGCUUGGUAAAAGGGGAGUGAGUACUGAAUAGUGCAUCUUUUGUAAAAUGUGAGUUGUUACAUUCCAUCAGUCACACCAGGGGUUGUUCAUCAGUUGUAAUCCAUGUACCAUUGGCAAGCACCUUAACAUUUGAAGCUAUCCUUUAUUUAUUUUAAAAUAAAGAAAUAUUUAUUACUAAACACACAUUUUUUUUUCUUGACAUUAAAGCUUCAGGGUUGAGGUUGCUUAGAAUGAAGUAUGAGGUGCUUUCAUAACUCUCAUAUACGGAUUAUAUAUCAUAAUAUCUGCAUAUAUUUACCCCACGUUGCACUAUUAGAGUUAAUUAGUAGCAUAUCUAUCAUGAAUUCUUGAAAGAGAAUUUUUUUGUUUAGCUGUGUAUUGGAUGUAUCUAUUGUUGACACUAGCACAUCCAUCUGAGAUUGGUUAGUUAACUUCUGAGAAAGUGAGAAUGGUCAAUGUGUUACCACUCAAGGGAAAUUAAAACUGAGUUACGUAAAGUCACCAAAACCAAAGGAGCCAUCUAUGUCGUAUUAUUAAGUAGCAAAUCCUGUAAGGCCGUAAAGAAGAUAACUUCCCAUAAAAGAGAACACAAACAUUGAACUACCUAGAGCUUAUAACUUACAAACUUCAAACAAUUGAGGAUUUUACACAGUCACAACUGAAUUUGCAGUAGCAGAAAUAUACAAAUUAGUGCAGGUUUUACUUAGAAUAUCAAGAUUUUACUUUUUCAAGUAAAAGCAGGUAUAGGGCUGUCUGAUUCUCGAAUGGCCUUCAGUACUUGAACUGUCUGCAUGCCGCACCCUUCGCAAAAUAUCCGGAAGAAACUGAGGGGCUUAGGGAGGGAGCUAUAGUCUUGAUAAAGUGGUUAGGUAGGUCAAGCCAGAUGUGCUACUUGGUUUCUGGAGUUGGCAGUCUCUUGAAUGAAGAGGUGAGUGUAUCAUGAGGUCUUUUUACAUUUUUAAGCCGGACUGAAAUGGAGUGAUGACUAAUGAGUAAAGACGAAUUUAAAUGGAUUAUGUAUGCUAUUUCAGAGAUUAUGAAACCGUUUGUUAGGGAUCUCGGUUAUUUGAUUGGUAUACUCCGUAUUAAAAAGGGGCUUGAACUUGGACUUACCAGUUUCAUGUAUGGAAUAUUUAGAUUAUCUUCAGUAAUAUGAUUAUGCUUCAUGUUUAUCAGAUGCCGUUUUAAGUACUUAUGUAGUUAUGUUACAUCUGAUAGUUAGGAAGGCAUUUCCCCUCUCGAAAAUAUAUUUUAUCAUUCUUGUAUAUUUUAAAUACUAAGCGUAUUGCAUAUAAUGUUCUGCCAUUGUUGUUUUUAAUUUUUGGAUAGAUAAAUAUAUUGAGACAUCUCAGUUGAGAAUAUAUGAGUAUAUGGGUAUGUACGAGUACAUUUUGUGUAAUCCUACAGCAGGAUAUUUGCUAUACGAAAUACUUUGGCAUUGUAUUUUCGAAAAGUAGAAGAAUAUUAAACAACUUUAAUACUUCGUACUAAGUAAUUGUUUGCGUUUCUUCGAUAUGUCUGAUGGCUGGAACUCUCAACUAUUAUUUUAGCACCAACAAAACCAUAAGGCAAUUUUCUUUUUUCUUUAUAAUUACAUGUGAUGUUUUUUUUUUGUUUUAUAUUCAAUUCCAUAAUCAAUGAGAGUCAUUAUUCUUCUUUGCUCAUGCAUUAUGCACGACUCCUAAUACAUUGGUUGUGCAGACCUUAAUUAUCACUCCUUUGUGGGUUCUGAUUAUUCAGCUGUCCACUGUGAUUACAGAUUAUUUUGAUCCAAGUUUCCUUGUCUUCUUCCUGUGACUUACCGACUUUGAUGAUUAGUUCGUUUAUUUAUUUAUUUAUUUAGGGACAUCGUUUUUUCUUAUGAGAAUCAGUAUUUCGGAGCUAGGGUGGAGAGUGUGAGAUGAGCAUAAAAAGUUAUCUUCGAUGUAGGAAACAGAUGGUAUCUUUUGUGUAGCAUAGGAACUAAGUUUCUUCUCCUAUUGAGGAAAUUGUUUCAUGCUUAAGUUAGUGUACGAUCUACCUACAGAUUCAUAUAACAAAGUAAGAUGAGGAUAUAAAAGAAUUUCUUGAAUUCAAGUGAGCUUCAGUGCUGUAUUAUUUUCAUGAUUGAAUUAGAUCAGUCUGAAGUUUCACCUAUUAAAGAUUGACCUAUAUUUACGUCCUUUGAGAUGAACUCCACUGCAUAAAACUUUUGAUCAAAUCGAUAAUCUGUCUUUUGUUGAUUUGUGAUAGUUUAUGUAUGUCUCUAUUUUUGGUUCUUUUCUGUUGAUUAUCUUUCGUUUCAUCUGCCUUUUUUUUCUCAGAAAUUUUGUUAUUUUGGGGGGUUUUAAUUGGAUAAUGUAGUUUAGUUUAUAAGGUAAAACUUUGAGUGGUAAUGUCAUAUGUAGAACAUUUUUCUGACCACAAACAAAUAUUAUAUGAUCCUCUUUGAACAGGUAAUAAAGUCCAAAAUCAGCAGUCUAUAAAUUUCUUAUAAAAUAUGUAUGCUUUUCUCGUCCCGUAUAUUUAUCACGCAUUUUUUUCUCUUGUUGAUGGGAGAAUCAACUGAAACAAUUGAAGAAAAUCCAACAGCCAGCGCAGUAGACCACUCCCGAGACUUAGUUUCAAGUUCAAGAAUUCUUCUUCAGAGAUUGAGAAUGCCGCCAUUCUUUCCCUCAGUUUUCCGUCUUCGGUGGGAGAAGGGAGAAAACCAAUGAUGCGGACAUUUUCUUUUUCAAAGCUUUUUACACCAAAAGGAAAUAAAGCAUAUUCAUUACCCGUUACUCCAAUUUCACGCUUACACUUAAUGUGGUUUAUCAGAUACUUUAAUCUAUGCACAUCAUCCAUUAUGGGUAGAAUUGUUUAACAUUUCUGCUAUUAUUCGUGCAGAAGUGGAUGCAUUGACCAGCUUUAAUUGAGUGAUUAUUAUGAAGGACCAACCUGCCGUCCAAGUAUUUCAACGGGGUCCAAUGCGAAUGAAAGUCUAGGGCAUCCUAUCAUUAGAAGUGAUUCUUUAGGCAGGGGUACAUUUGUACCCAAUGACAUUAAUAUUGGUGCCAAGACUCCCUUAUAGCACUUUACAAUCUCUCUAUAUUAAUCACCAGCAAACAUUGCCUUUGAUUGUAUCACCAGAUAUUGUAUUGUACUAAAGCUUUGUUUACCUAUUUUAUUUAUUAAAUUUCUCUUUACCUCGCCA
Molecule: long non-coding RNA, 4077 nt
Organism: Spinacia oleracea (spinach)
Lineage: Eukaryota; Viridiplantae; Streptophyta; Magnoliopsida; Caryophyllales; Amaranthaceae
Exons: 3
Source: RefSeq, a predicted model, not a curated record